CUUGUGGUUUGUAAUUUAUAUAUUAUGUGAAAGAGUGAUUAGUAUAUGGAUUGUUUUGUCUCGCAAUAGGAAAGUCACAAAUGUUCAUGCUAGAGAAUCCAGUGCCACAUUCUUUGCAAAGGCCAAAUAUCUCUAGGAAUAUCACUGAUAGACCGAAUCGAAUAAGGUGGUCAUUCUUUUUUCUCUCCGACUUGAAAUUAAUUUCAACCGACGUAAUCACUGCCGCCUUAUAUAAUACUUCAAGACUGACAGUUUUGUUAAAAAUUUAAAUACAAUAUCAUGUAUUCUCUUAUUUCUCUCGUGUAAAUAUUAAAAGUACCGAAGAUUCAGCAAACAAGCCUGACUAGCCUAGUUUUGUUAGUUACUUUUGACAUUACUGAUGGCAUGAUACUUCAAAGGGCUUUAAAUAUUAAUUUCGCUUGCAUGGAUUGUUUUACAUCGUGAACUCUUGCGCUAGCUUUAAAUGUUGAAAAUUGUUUAUUUGCCUGGUAAUGCAUAAAAUAUAUAAUAAUACAAAAUUGUGGCGGCUAUAGUUUUGGAAUCGGUCAAUGUCAUUGGUAUACAUAUUAGAUAAUCUUUAUUCCAAACAAAAUACCAAUAAAGGUAGUACAAAGAAUACAAUUAUGAUAUAAAAUAUAUCAUAUUUAAUUACAUAUUCAAAUCGACUCUCGUCAGACCUCGUCAAACAUUCGAAUAGUAUACGUAUUAUUGUAUAUUACUGCC
Paramuricea clavata is the source of this 723-nucleotide non-coding RNA. NCBI's taxonomy places the organism in Eukaryota, Metazoa, Cnidaria, Anthozoa, Malacalcyonacea, Plexauridae. The record is from the annotation of a GenBank genome assembly.